ACUCACAAAAAGGACAUGUUUUCUAUAGAAUCUUUUUGAAUAUUUUUUACCCCAUUCCAAGGUUGUGGUACUAUGAGUAUUGACACAAAACUUGGGGCGAAAAUGUCUGUAAAACGCUUGAAGAUGCAUUUUAGACUAUCUCGAUAAUGCUCAUUAACGAGCUUAGUGGACACGACAGGAUAGUGAGGAGUGCUUGAGAAACUGGAUGAUGACUGACCUUGACUGAAUUGGUCUCAUUUAAGAAGGUUGACGGCCUUGUAUUCAUACUUCAAACCUGUUGAAGUAAGAAAGAAUGAAUGAAUUUGACAAUUUGGAUCGAACAUCGAAUUGACCUUUCAAGUUGAGGGCUAUACGGACACGCCACGAGCAGGAGCUCCUGUAAUAGGAACAACUUCAGUUUAGAAUCCUCUUGAUCCUCCUCAGCCACAACCACCAAUUCGCCACAACCACUACCACUACCACCACCAGUUGUGUCGUUGUCCUUAAUCUUCUUCUCCUGCAAUCAUUUAUCAAUUCAAAACCCCUGGCCUCAAUUCAAUUCAAAAUACCUAAAAUAGUACCAGUACCACGUACUCACCAUGCCGUCCGUCCGUAGUGGUUGUGG
This 604-nucleotide long non-coding RNA is filed under the name Aquilegia coerulea. RNAcentral's name for it is "long non-coding RNA (ACOE_LNC001392)". The record is from RNAcentral. Lineage: Eukaryota; Viridiplantae; Streptophyta; Magnoliopsida; Ranunculales; Ranunculaceae.